UACGGAAUGUGCAAACGUUAUUCGGAAUCACUGGGCUUAAAGAGUCCGUAGGCGGCAUGUUAGGUGAGGUGUGAAAUCCCCCGGCUCAACCGAGGAAUUGCGCUUCAAACCGGCGUGCUUGAGGAAGAUAGAGGUGGGCGGAACUGAUGGUGGAGCGGUGAAAUGCGUUGAUAUCAUCAGGAACACCGGAGGCGAAAGCGGCCCACUGGGUCUUAUCUGACGCUGAGGGACGAAAGCUAGGGGAGCGAACGGG
This 253-nucleotide ribosomal RNA is filed under the name uncultured bacterium. Its description in RNAcentral is "partial 16S ribosomal RNA". It matches the Rfam family "Bacterial small subunit ribosomal RNA", at positions 524 to 776 of the family's 1533-position model. The record is from RNAcentral.